UAUGAAGGGGGCUAGCGUUGCUCGGAGUCACUGGGCGUAAAGCGCACGUAGGCGGCUUGUUAAGUCAGGGGUGAAAUCCUGGAGCUCAACUCCAGAACUGCCUUUGAUACUGGCAAGCUUGAGUCCGGGAGAGGCGAGUGGAACUGCGAGUGUAGAGGUGAAAUUCGUAGAUAUUCGCAAGAACACCAGUGGCGAAGGCGGCUCACUGGCCCGGUACUGACGCUGAGGUGCGAAAGCGUGGGGAGCAAACAGG
This 253-nucleotide ribosomal RNA is filed under the name uncultured bacterium. RNAcentral's name for it is "partial 16S ribosomal RNA". It matches the Rfam family "Bacterial small subunit ribosomal RNA", at positions 524 to 776 of the family's 1533-position model. The record is from RNAcentral.